UACGGGAGGCAGCAGCGGGGAAUAUUGCACAAUGGGCGCAAGCCUGAUGCAGCCAUGCCGCGUGUAUGAAGAAGGCCUUCGGGUUGUAAAGUACUUUCAGUCGUGAGGAAGGUGUUAAGGUUAAUAACCUUAGCAAUUGACGUUAGCGACAGAAGAAGCACCGGCUAACUCCGUGCCAGCAGCCGCGGUAAUACGGAGGGUGCGAGCGUUAAUCGGAAUUACUGGGCGUAAAGGGCACGCAGGCGGUUAAUUAAGUUGGAUGUGAAAUCCCCGGGCUUAACCUGGGAAUGGCAUUCAAGACUGGUUAGCUAGAGUCUUGUAGAGGGGGUAGAAUUCCAUGUGUAGCGGUGAAAUGCGUAGAGAUGUGGAGGAAUACCGGUGGCGAAGGCGGCCCCUGGGACAAAGGCUGACGCUCAUGUGCGAAAGCGUGGGGAGCAAAC
RNAcentral lists this ribosomal RNA (440 nucleotides) under uncultured bacterium. RNAcentral describes it as "bacterial SSU rRNA". It matches the Rfam family "Bacterial small subunit ribosomal RNA", at positions 340 to 773 of the family's 1533-position model. The record is from RNAcentral.